RNAcentral lists this long non-coding RNA (1788 nucleotides) under Sus scrofa (pig). Its description in RNAcentral is "lncRNA (ENSSSCG00000058953.1)". The record is from RNAcentral. Lineage: Eukaryota; Metazoa; Chordata; Mammalia; Artiodactyla; Suidae.
GUAUAGUUCUCUGUGCUACGGGAGGAUCUCCAAAAUUUAAAUUAUUUAUUUAUUUAUUUAUUUAUUUAUUUUUUAGGGCCUCACCUGAGGCAUAUGGAGGUUUCAGGCUAGGGGUCUAAUCAGAGCUACAGCUGCCGGCCUACACCAGAGCCACAGCAACUCAGGGUCCAAGCCACUUCUGUGACCUACACCGUAGCUCACGGCAACGCCGGAUCCUUAACCCACCGAACGAGGCCAGGGAUUGAACCCGCUCCUUCAUCGUUCCUAGUCGGAUUUGUUUCCGCUGCGCCACGACGGGAACGCCCCUAUUUUGUAAAUUAUAUGAUCACUUCCAGUUGAAAUAUCUGCUCACAAAGCAUCCACUGACGUAAAAGGAGGCGCGGCCUGGAAGGAUGGAUUAUCUCGAGUCUCCUGUUUCUUCUUGAUACCUCCAUGCCCUCUGGCUCUUCAGAGAAAGGAAGGUCUGAUGAAUAAAAUGUAAGAGACGAAGGUGGAAACUUUGUGGAGACUUCUCCUCACUGACCCGUGUUCCCCCCUCUGCCUGGGGUGUGUGACUCUCCAGAAUAGAACCUGCAAGUGUCUGUCGCCAGGGCUCUGGCGGUGACUCAAGAUAGGCAGGAUCAUAAGGGCGCCACGUGCUUGUGUGUGUGUGUGUGUGUGUGUGUGUGUGUGUGUGUGUGUGUGUGCUCGUACCUGAGCACACAUUUAUGUGGGAAGGGAAGGCUGUUCUUAUUGAGGUUUUGAAGAAAAAUACGUUUCAUUAUUUGAGCAUCAAGAAAAGAUUCAGCCACAGGAUGGAUUGAAAUAAGCCUCCCCGUUUUACUAAAAAUCCAUUACUUGUGGAGCUAUUAAGUGAUGAAAAGGACUAAGAGAAUAGAAAGCUAAUAAAGAUGAUAAGGGGGGAGCAUUUUGUGAAAUUUGCAUGUGCAUUUAUAACAUUCGAAUCUGUCGGCAAGACAGCGUCGCUCGGCAGAAGGAGAGAAACCCCGAACCGCACAUAUAGGCAUAAAAAAUGCAACAGCAGAGUUUCCGGCCAGGAAACCUUUUUGUUCCAUAUGGGCAUCCAUAUGUUUUAGCUUGAAAUCCAUAUUUUUGGCCUUGAUACCCAUAUGUUCGCUUUUUGCCCAAAUAAGAUUGUAUAAUCAUUCUUUAUUAUUUCUUCUUUCCUAGAAGUUAUUGCCCUACGAUUUGGGAAGGGGUAGGGAAACAAAUGGACUGUUUUAUAUACCAGGAAUACAGAUAUGAAAGAGAAGCCUGCUGUAGGAGGCACAACGUGGGUGCGGGUGUGAAUAUGUAUUCAUUUAUCAUAUAUGUUCAUGCCAUAUUCAUGUCUGCUUCAUCAAGGCAGGACUCCCAUAGAUUGAAUUUUGAUAUCACAGGCUGUCUCUCUCAGGCUGAUGCCCCCACGUGUCUAACUGAACAACAGAGACACUUUCAGGGUAGGGGCAGAAAGGGAUGGAUUUGUCCAGUACACUCUUCUGUCCAUUGGGAUUGCCCGGUAAAUAUUCACUGUAGAGCUAUGAUUUUAUUAUUUCUAGCCCCCCCCCCACAGAGUGAUAGGAGCACAUAACUCCUUAUAUCAUAAAUGUCCAAUUAUAUGUCCUCAUAUCAUAAAUGUCCAAUUAUAUGUAAGACUUUCCUUCUAGAUCUUGAGAGUCAAGCUGGGAUUGUAUUUUGACUCAGUUUUGCCUCUCUGACUCAUAGCUUACAGUUGAAUUUCAAUAAAGGAUUGGAGACCCAUUGAUCUAAAAAAGUUUAUUCACAAGGGAAAAAUGAAUUAGGCUUUUG